Molecule: ribosomal RNA, 327 nt
Filed under: uncultured eukaryote
Lineage: Eukaryota
Description: partial 18S ribosomal RNA
Rfam family: Eukaryotic small subunit ribosomal RNA
Source: RNAcentral
CCCUUAGAUAUUCUGGGCCGCACGCGCGCUACACUGACGAAUGCAACGAGCUUAUAACCUUGGCCGAAAGGUCUGGGUAAUCUCCAAAUUUCGUCGUGAUGGGGAUAGAUUAUUGCAAUUAUUAAUCUUCAACGAGGAAUGCCUAGUAAGCGCAAGUCAUCAGCUUGCGUUGAUUACGUCCCUGCCCUUUGUACACACCGCCCGUCGCUCCUACCGAUUGAAUGGUCCGGUGAAGCGUUCGGACCGUGGCCUUUGGACGGUUCGCCGUCUGUUGGCUGCGGGAAGUUCGUUAAACCUUAUCAUUUAGAGGAAGGAGAAGUCGUANCA